This 536-nucleotide ribosomal RNA is filed under the name uncultured bacterium. RNAcentral describes it as "bacterial SSU rRNA". It matches the Rfam family "Bacterial small subunit ribosomal RNA", at positions 505 to 1042 of the family's 1533-position model. The record is from RNAcentral.
GUGCCACCGCCGCGGUAAUACGUAUGUCCCGAGCGUUAUCCGGAUUUAUUGGGCGUAAAGCGCACGCAGGCGGUCUGUUAAGUCAGAUGUGAAAUCCCCGGGCUCAACCUGGGAACUGCAUCUGAUACUGGCAGGCUUGAGUCUCGUAGAGGGGGAUAGAAUUCCAGGUGUAGCGGUGAAAUGCGUAGAGAUCUGGAGGAAUACCGGUGGCGAAGGCGGCCCCCUGGACGAAGACUGACGCUCAGGUGCGAAAGCGUGGGGAGCAAACAGGAUUAGAUACCCUGGUAGUCCACGCCGUAAACGAUGUCGACUUGGAGGUUGUGCCCUUGAGGCGUGGCUUCCGGAGCUAACGCGUUAAGUCGACCGCCUGGGGAGUACGGCCGCAAGGUUAAAACUCAAAUGAAUUGACGGGGCCCGCACAAGCGGUGGAGCAUGUGGUUUAAUUCGAUGCAACGCGAAGAACCUUACCUGGUCUUGACAUCCACGGAAGUUUUCAGAGAUGAGAAUGUGCCUUCGGGAACCGUGAGACAGGUGCG